This 312-nucleotide unclassified non-coding RNA is filed under the name Hevea brasiliensis (rubber tree). Lineage: Eukaryota; Viridiplantae; Streptophyta; Magnoliopsida; Malpighiales; Euphorbiaceae. The record is from RNAcentral.
AGGGAAUUGGCUUAUGUGCCAGAUGUUCUGGACAAGCUUUCUUCUCUUGAAGAGUUCAUUAUUGAUGGGUGUCCAAUGUUGAAAUCAUUGCCAGAUAGUAUCCGUUCCCUAACCAGGCUUGAAAAGCUGGUGAUUCGAAGAUGCCCUGAUUUAAUUAAGCAACUACACGAAGAGGGCAGCGAAGAGUGGUCCAAGACAGCACAUAUCCCGCGCAUUGAGAAAGAAAUUGAAGAAUAUCUUACUGAAGAAGACAGCCAUAGUGAACUUCAUUACUGAAGAAAUGCACUCUCAAUCAAAUUCCAAAUGUUUUCC